Molecule: transfer RNA, 93 nt
Filed under: Cyrtodactylus intermedius
Lineage: Eukaryota; Metazoa; Chordata; Lepidosauria; Squamata; Gekkonidae
Description: tRNA-Cys
Source: RNAcentral
GUCCCGCGGUAGCGUUACGCCGGAGUGCAAAUCCGGAGGAGCACCCCAAAAAGGUGCCGGGGCUUCUCCCGUUUUAAAAGAGACGGGAGAAGG